CCUACGGGAGGCAGCAGUAGGGAAUAUUGCUCAAUGGGGGAAACCCUGAAGCAGCAACGCCGCGUGGAGGAUGAAGGUUUUCGGAUUGUAAACUCCUUUUGUUAGAGAAGAUAAUGACGGUAUCUAACGAAUAAGCACCGGCUAACUCCGUGCCAGCAGCCGCGGUAAUACGGAGGGUGCAAGCGUUACUCGGAAUCACUGGGGGUAAAGAGCGCGUAGGCGGGAUAGCAAGUCAGAUGUGAAAUCCUAGGGCUUAACCAUAGAACUGCAUUUGAAACUGUUAUUCUAGAGUAUGGGAGAGGUAGGUGGAAUUCUUGGUGUAGGGGUAAAAUCCGUAGAGAUCAAGAGGAAUACUCAUUGCGAAGGCGACCUGCUAGAACAUAACUGACGCUGAUGCGCGAAAGCGUGGGGAGCAAACAGGAUUAGAUACCCGUGUAGUC
Molecule: ribosomal RNA, 440 nt
Filed under: uncultured bacterium
Lineage: Bacteria
Description: partial 16S ribosomal RNA
Rfam family: Bacterial small subunit ribosomal RNA
Source: RNAcentral